RNAcentral lists this ribosomal RNA (425 nucleotides) under uncultured bacterium. RNAcentral's name for it is "bacterial SSU rRNA". It matches the Rfam family "Bacterial small subunit ribosomal RNA", at positions 354 to 796 of the family's 1533-position model. The record is from RNAcentral.
GUGGGGAAUAUUGGACAAUGGGCGCAAGCCUGAUCCAGCCAUGCCGCGUGAGUGAUGAAGGCCUUAGGGUUGUAAAGCUCUUUCAGUGGGGACGAUAAUGACGGUACCCACAGAAGAAGCCCCGGCUAACUUCGUGCCAGCAGCCGCGGUAAUACGAAGGGGGCUAGCGUUGUUCGGAUUUACUGGGCGUAAAGCGCACGUAGGCGGAUCGUUAAGUCGGGGGUGAAAUCCUGGAGCUCAACUCCAGAACUGCCUUCGAUACUGGCGAUCUUGAGUACGGAAGAGGUGAGUGGAACUCCUAGUGUAGAAGUGGAAUUCGUAGAUAUUAGGAAGAACACCAGUGGCGAAGGCGGCUCACUGGUCCGGUACUGACGCUGAGGUGCGAAAGCGUGGGGAGCAAACAGGAUUAGAUACCCUAGUAGUCC